UACCUGGUUGAUCCUGCCAGUAAUCAUAUGCUUGUCUCAAAGAUUAAGCCAUGCAUGUCUAAGUACAUGCCGAAAUAAGGCGAAACCGCGAAUGGCUCAUUAAAUCAGUUAUGGUUCCUUAGAUCGUUUCUUCCUACUUGGAUAACUGUGGCAAUUCUAGAGCUAAUACAUGCAGUGAGCCUGAAGCCCUUUGGGCGACGGGUGCUUUUAUUAGACCAAGAUCGAUCGGGUUUCGGCCCGUAUUGUGUGGUGACUCUGGAUAACUUUGUGCUGAUCGCAUGGCCACGAGCCGGCGACGUUUCUUUCAAGUGUCUGCCUUAUCAACUUUCGAUGGUAGGUUACUUGCUUACCAUGGUUGUUACGGGUAACGGAGAAUCAGGGUUCGAUUCCGGAGAGGGAGCCUGAGAAACGGCUACCACAUCCAAGGAAGGCAGCAGGCGCGCAAAUUACCCACUCCCGGCACGGGGAGGUAGUGACGAAAAAUAACAAUACGGGACUCUUUUGAGGCCCCGUAAUUGAAAUGAGUACACUCUAAAUCCUUUAACGAGGAUCAAUUGGAGGGCAAGUCUGGUGCCAGCAGCCGCGGUAAUUCCAGCUCCAAUAGCGUAUACUAAAGCUGCUGCGGUUAAAAAGCUCGUAGUUGGAUCUCAGUUCCAGACGAGUAGUGCAUCUACCCGAUGCGACGGCUCGGACUGAACAUCAUGCCGGUCCUUUCUUGGUGCACUUCAUUGUGUGCCUCGAGAAGGCCGGUGCUUUUACUUUGAAAAAAUUAGAGUGCUCAACGCAGGCGAGUCGCCUGAAUAAACUUGCAUGGAAUAAUAGAACAAGACCUCGUUUCUGUUCUGUUGGUUUUUGGAAUACGAGGUAAUGAUUAAGAGGGACAGACGGGGGCAUUCGUAUUGCGGCGCUAGAGGUGAAAUUCUUGGACCGUCGCAAGACGAACUACUGCGAAAGCAUUUGCCAAGAAUGUUUUCUUUGAUCAAGAACGAAAGUCAGAGGUUCGAAGGCGAUCAGAUACCGCCCUAGUUCUGACCAUAAACGAUGCCAACCAGCGAUCCGCCUGAGUUACUCAAAUGACUCGGCGGGCAGCUUCCGGGAAACCAAAGUGUUUGGGUUCCGGGGGAAGUAUGGUUGCAAAGCUGAAACUUAAAGGAAUUGACGGAAGGGCACCACCAGGAGUGGAGCCUGCGGCUUAAUUUGACUCAACACGGGAAAACUUACCCGGCCCGGACACUGGGAGGAUUGACAGAUUGAGAGCUCUUUCUUGAUUCGGUGGAUGGUGGUGCAUGGCCGUUCUUAGUUGGUGGAGCGAUUUGUCUGGUUAAUUCCGAUAACGAACGAGACUCUAGCCUAUUAAAUAGGUGCGGGGUUCCCAGCACCUUACAACCUUCUUAGAGGGACAAGCGGCUCCUAGCCGCACGAAACAGAGCAAUAACAGGUCUGUGAUGCCCUUCAGAUGUCCGGGGCCGCACGCGCGCUACACUGAAGGAAGCAGCGUGUCUUUAUCCCUGUCUGAAAGGACUGGGUAACCCGUGGAACUUCUUUCGUGAUUGGGAUAGGGGCUUGCAAUUGUUCCCCUUGAACGAGGAAUUCCCAGUAAGCGCGAGUCAUAAGCUCGCGUUGAUUACGUCCCUGCCCUUUGUACACACCGCCCGUCGCUACUACCGAUUGAAUGAUUUAGUGAGGUCUUCGGACCGAUGUCCGGCGCGGCCUUUCGGUUGCGCCGGUCUGUUGGAAAGAUGACCAAACUUGAUCAUUUAGAGGAAGUAAAAGUCGUAACAAGGUUUCCGUAGGUGAACCUGCGGAAGGAUCAUUA
RNAcentral lists this ribosomal RNA (1816 nucleotides) under Dermacentor andersoni. Its description in RNAcentral is "small subunit ribosomal RNA". It matches the Rfam family "Eukaryotic small subunit ribosomal RNA". Lineage: Eukaryota; Metazoa; Arthropoda; Arachnida; Ixodida; Ixodidae. The record is from RNAcentral.